CGUACGCACUAUAUAUAUCUAUAUAUAUAUAUACGUGCUACCCUCCAAGUGGUAAUUAUCACUCUCACAUCAUUAUGCAUUAUAUGUAUCACACUUCGGAUACAUUACCAGGUUUUAAGAGAUCAUGAAAAAGUAAAACUAGAAUGGGAUAAACAAAGAAAAAGAAUAAAAGAGAAAACAAAAAAAAAUGAAACUUUAGCUGACCAGUCAGAAAAAUAUAGAGAAAAAAACGAGGUAAAGCUAAAAAAAAAAAAAAAAAAAAAAAAAAAAAAAAAAAAAAAAAAAAAAAAUAAAAGAUAUAACACAUAUACAUACGCGUAAGUAUGAUAUGAUCAUAAUAUCAUUACAUACUAACAUAUUCUAUGCUUGUACCAUUUAUUUUUUUUUUUUUUUUCUUACGCUUAAAAAAUAAAAUAUAUACAUACAUAUAUUUGAUAGCUAAACACUGUGAUUGAGUACUUAAACAUAGAAGAUAAGAAAAGAACAAAUUGGGUUGAUAAUUUAAGGUAUGGAACUGAAAAAAUAAAAUUCAAAGACACAGUUAAACGCAUAGACGUAAAUCAAGUUGUUAGUCAAAACAAAGAAACAAUAUUUGAUAACGUGUUUAAAAUAGAUGAUCAAGAGCAUGAACGAACAAAGAAACAGGAUGAUGUCAAAACAAGUGGUGAAUAUAUAUACAUAACAAACAAGGAGAAAAAAAAAAAAUACUAUGAAAAUGUUAUUAAUGAAAAAAUAAAAAAUAAUUUAGAAUUCUUUUUAUCUAAUUUUGCUGUUCCAGUUGACAAUAGUUUAUAUGUUAAGGGACAGGGUAUAGAAGUUCCUCAGAACGAAUUAGACAAUGUCAGCUUGGAGCAUAUCCAGGAGGGGCAAACCAAAGAAGGGCAAACCAAAGAAGGGCAAACCAAAGAAGGUGAAAGCAAAGAAGGUGAAAGCAAAGAAGGGGACAGCAAAGAAGUAAAUGGUGAAGAAGAGUAUAAUAAUAUGGACAAAAUUUGUAUAAACGGACAAGAUCCAUUACAGCUCUUUAUUUAUGACAAUGUAAAAAAUAAAUGGAAACUAGAUAGAUCUACAACAUUAGCAAAAGAUAUUUAUUUAGACAUACAAGAUACGGGAAAUAAAAUAAUAAACAAGUCUAUAUUAUUAAAAAAUAAUACAACAGAUAUUAUUCUUUAUAAAAUUCAACACAAACAAAAAAUGAAUAUAAAAAAUAAUAUAAUAAACUUAAAAGAUGUUCUAUAUUUUGACACUAACAAAAAUUAUGAAAUCUUAUUUUCUCCUGAUACCGGUUAUAUAGAACCAAAAAAAACUGUAAAAAUUAAUUUUACUUUUAUUUUUUCUUUUUUUGUUAAUUCCUUUGGUUAUUUUAUGAUUAAAUAUUUGUAUGGAGGCGAAAUUUGUAAAAAAUAUAUAUACGUUUGUGUAGAUUCGUUUUAUGGGCCUAAGCAUGGUGGGUAUCUAGUUGAUGAAUCAGGAUAUGACAAGUCACAGGAUGUCGAGUCACAAAAUGAAACAAAUAGAGACCUCGACACAGAUAGAGACCUCGACAUAGAUAGAGGCCCUCCCGAAAUUAACACCAACUGUUUAGCAAAACAAAACAAAAUCAAACUAAACAAAUACCAACUGUGUGAUAUUAUUAAUAACAUAAACUGCAGUUAUAAUUUAAAUAUACAUGAAAAAAAUAUAAUUAGUUUUUUAAAAAUGUUAAAAAACAAAAAAUAUAACGUUUGUUUAAAUUUGGAAGGGAUAAAGAGUGAUUCCUUGGUUGAUUUGGAGGGUAUAGAUUAUAGUAAAAUAGAUAGUGAUAGUGAUAGUCAUAUAAGUGAUAGUGUCAAUGACAGCAUAGACGGUAGUAGAGAUGAUUACGUAAUACUUUUUUGCACGGACGAAAAAGAACAUAAAAAAAAAAAUCAUAAUAAUAAAAAUAACUCAAUUAAAAAUAACUGUAUUAAUAACUAUGAAUUAAACAAAAAAAUUAAUUUAUUUUUCAAUCAUAUACAAUUAAAAUUUCGAUCCACCUUUGACACUCAUUCUGCUAGCGAUUACUCUACUACUAUGUUUGAUUCUUUUAUUACAUAUUUAGAUAUAUAUAGAAACAUAUUUAUUGAUUUUAAUAUAAAUUGCAUACUUAAUCCUUAUAAAAGGGAGGGAAAUACCAUAAACCAGAUUGUAUAUUUUGAAAACGGGAAAGCAAAAAGGAUAACAUUAAAAGGGGAUAGCAAUAGUGGUAGUAGUAGUAGUAGUAGUAGUAGUAACAGCAGCAGCAGCAGUAGUAGUAGUAGUAAUAAUAAUAAUAAUAAUAGUGGCACAAACAAAACGAACAGUGCUAGUGGUAUAAGUAGUACGAUCUCCACUAAUAGUAAUGACGAGCGUGAGCAACACACAUACUUACUAAAACAACAACAAUCAUUAGCUAGUUUAUCAAACAAUUUUAUUUCUUUAUGUAAAAACUUUAAUAAGUCACAAUAUCAGUGGCAUCAUUUGUUUCGUCACAUCAUACAACAGUAUGUUAAUAAUUUGUUCCAUGUAGAUGAUGUUUAUAAAGACGUUUUUCAGAAUAGUCAAACGAAUGGUAAAGCAAAUGCUGCAUCUAACAACAACACUUGUGUCAACAUUAGUAAAAACAUCGAUGAGAAACAUAACGGUCAUAAAAAAAAAAAAACAAACAAACACAACAAGCCAACACAUGAUAUUGAAAAAGAAAAUGAGUUGAAUAACAUGUCCAACUUAAACACAAUUAAAAACAUGUUUAAAAGUAGAUUUACAUAUACAUAUGCAUCAAUUAAAAAGGAAAACAUUUAUUCUCGUUUUAUAAAUUUAAUUUAUGAGCAAAAUAAAUUAAACAACGUUUCGGUAUUUUAUUUUUAUACAUACUUAAAUAUGAUUAAAUUCAUUAAACAAUUAUUUAUAGAACAAAAUUUAUGUUUUUAUAAAAACAUACAUGAACAGCACAAUAUUUUUAUACAAGCAAAUACAAAAUUACUAAAGCAUAUUUUGCUUUAUGUACACAUUUUAUAUGAACAAAAAAAAAAUAGUCAUAAUCAUGGUGACAUUUUUUAUAAAAAAAAAUUAAACAAUCUACUGGUAGACGCACUUACUAGCUAUUUUUAUUCUCUUUUUGUAUAUCUAAAAAAUAAUAGCAAAAAGAUUUUUGUUUUUCUCGAUAGUUGGCAUAUCAAAACUUGUUUUUCUAAUAAAAGUAAACCAAAAAAUGAUGAAGCCUUUGAUUGUUAUUUUGUUCAAAAUGUAUUUUUUUAUAUAUGUUUUCCUUUUUUAAAAAAUAAAAUAAAAGAAUAUUCUUUAACUGAUUGUAAUUUGCAUUUUAUAACAAACGAGGUGGACGCAAAUUUGUUUUUUUCAAAUGACUUUUAUAGUCAAAAUUGUUAUGUUAAUCAACAACACGAAAACGGGAUAGUAGUAUUGGGAGUAGCAGGGAAAGUAGUAGAUGGGAAUGGCAAUGGGAAUGGCAAUGGGAAUGGGAAUGCCGUCAAAGGAAAUUCAUGUACAGAAGAACCAGUAACAUAUACGGUUAUUAGUGAGACUACACAAAAUGCUACUGUUAAUAAAAACAUGAACAAUAGUAUUGACAAUGCGCUUAAUUCGGAACAGAUAAAUAUGUAUGACGCGGGGGAAAAGGAAAGUAAAAAAAAGGAAAAAAAAGAAAAAAAAAAAAAAGAAGAAAAAAAAGAAAAAGAAGAAAAAGAAGAAAAAAAAGAAAAAGAAGAAAAAAAAGAAAAAGAAGAAAAAGAAGAAAAAGAAGAAAAAGAAGAAAAAGAAGAAAAAAAAGAAAAAAAAGAAGCAGAACUUGUUUCUUUUUUAAAAGACAUAACAAACUGGAACGAUUAUGGUAGUGAAAAUUUGACAUCGACCUCGAUACAUGCGCACAAUAUAACUAGUGCUAUGAAUUCUGCACAUAUUGCAACUACUGAAUUUACUGCCACUGGUAUUGGUACUCCUAAUAUAGACAGUGCUACAUCACUCGAAAGGGAACCCAAAACAGAACCCAAAACAGAACCCAAAACAGAACCCAAAACAGAACCCAAAACAAAACCCAAACAGAACCAAGUACACAAAUCCAAUAAAGAUAUUUUUUUUAUUUUUGACCAGAAGCUUUUUGUUAAAACAAUGUAUAAAAAGUAUCUUGAAAAGCUAGAAAAAAAUGCAGAAGAAAGAUUAAAAGUAUUAAAAGCUUUACUAGAGGAAAAAAAAAACGCCGAAUGUGCUAAACUGCAUACGGCAGAAACGGGCAUGAAGGAUAUGGUAGCACAAGAUAUGGACCAACAAGAAAGCCAUAUCAAUAAACGCGAUGUAACAGCACCAAUAAAAGACACGAGUGAUAACAAAAAUGAAAAGGAAAAAGAAAAAGGUAAAAAAAAGGAUAAAAAAAAGGAUAAAAAAAAGGAUAAAAAAAGUGGGGAAAGUAAAGAGAGCAAACACAAAGAGGGUAGAAAAAAAAUCGAAACGAAUGAUACAAAUGAUAUUAGCAUAACUGAAAAUGAAACGGUAAUUGAAAAUCCAAACUUAUUAAACUACUUUUUUACUAGAUUAUUUGAUAUAUUUAAUGUACAUACAUAUGUUAUAGAUGAUACCAAAAUUAUAAAAAUAAUAAAAAAAAUGAAGUUAUCAAAAAAUAUACAUAUUAAAAUUGGCCACAUUUUGAAUAAAAUAAUUUAUUUUAUUCUUUUUAUUUUUAAUUUUAUAUCUCUAGAACAUGUUAAUUUAUUUUUCACAAAAGUAGAAAAACAUAUAACAUUUUAUAAUUUUUUUCUAUUUGUUGAUUAUAUAAAGUAUAACUAUUCUGAUUUGUUACGUUUAUUUCGUUCUAUAUUAACAUAUUUUGACAUGCAAAAUGAUAUGAAUAAAGUUCAUUGGGGUAUUAGUAUACCUCUGAGAGUGGGGUUCGAUUUUUUACAACUUCCACCAGAAAAAGAUAAAGUUAGUAGUAGUGUAGAAAAUGAAUCUGGAAAUGAUAUGGUGGUACCAACAUGUCAGUCGGAAAAACAUAAAACUGCAUCAAACAGAGCAAUUACAGCAACUAGAGCAGUUACAGCAACUAGAGCAAUUACAGCAACUAGAGCAAUUACAGCAACUAGAGCAAUUACAGCAACUAGAGCAAUUACAAAUAUCGCAACCACAACCAAUAUAAACUUUAGUAACAUAAAAGCAGAAUAUAUUCAACUGCUUAACAACAAAAAACAAAUGACUCAAAAUGAUAAAUACAUUUGCAUUAUAUCUCCUAAAAUAAAAAAUGACAUACUAAAUCUAACAAACAUAAAAAAUAUAUUAGAAUGGAUUAAAUUACUAAACGUAAUUGUAUUUUUAAAUGUGUCUGAUUUAUAUAUUUGUGGGCAACUCUUUUUGUUAUUUUUGUUUUUCAUUUAUGAUAGAUGUAUUCUGAAAGGAAGAGUAUGUAAAAAUAAAAAAAAUCAUUUUUAUUUUAUUCAAGUAGAACCAAAUAAAAGUAUAACACAAAAGAACAAAUGUAAAUCGUUUAAUAAAAAAAAAAUUACGAAUAAUCAUAAUCAGUAUGAGCAUAUUAAAAUACACACAAACCUUACCCGAAACAAAUAUGUCCGUUUUAAAUUUAUGGAUACAGAAAAUAUUUCUAAGAAAUUAUUAUUAUUAUUAAAAAUUAGUAUAUUUCAGAUAAUAAACUUAUGUAAAAAAUAUCAUAUAAACAUACAUUUGUGUCCAGACAUAUAUAUUAAAAUAAUUAAUAAUAAUAAUGAUAAUAAUAAUAAUAAUGAUAAUAAUAAUAAUAAUAAUNNNNNNNNNNNNNNNNNNNNNNNNNNNNNNNNNNNNNNNNNNNNNNNNNNNNNNNNNNNNNNNNNNNNNNNNNNNNNNNNNNNNNNNNNNNNNNNNNNNNAAUAAUAAUAAUAAUGAUAAUAAUAAUAAUAAUAAUAAUAAUAAUAAUAAUAAUAAUAAUAAUAAUAAUAAUGAUAAUAAUAAUAAUAAUAAUGAUAAUAAUAAUAAUAAUGAUAAUAAUAAUAAUAAUAAUAAUAAUAAUGAUAAUAAUAGUUUGCACUUGAACGAACAAUCAUCCGUGUAUUGUUCCUUUCCUUACAAAAAUUAUGACUCGUUAAUAAGUUUGGCUGAAAAAAACUUUAUUAAAAAGUAUGGAAAUAAGAUUGGCAAAUUGGGUAUGGCGCUGUUUGGAAAGGAGGGGGAAUUAGGUGAUGGUAGUGGUGGUACUAGUGGUAGUAGUGGUAGUGGUAGCAGUGGUAGUAGUGGUAUGGGUAGUGGUUGUAGUGGCAGUAGUGGUAAUAGUGGCAGUAGUGGUGAUAGAAACAGCGAUGACAGCACGGCUAGUCGUACCAGUGCUAAUGAAUUCAUAAAAUGUUUUAAUCCGGAUAGGUAUUCUGAACAUACUACAACACUCAAUGAAGAGCUACAAAACGUUACGACCAUUUGCAACGGAGUUACAGAAGAGUCAGGUAUAAUUAACAAUUGUCAUAACAAAACUGAUGAUAAUAUUGAUAAUAAAAAAAAAAAAGAAAUAAAUAAGAAUGGUGCU
This is a long non-coding RNA of Piliocolobus tephrosceles (Ugandan red Colobus), 6511 nucleotides long. NCBI's taxonomy places the organism in Eukaryota, Metazoa, Chordata, Mammalia, Primates, Cercopithecidae. The record is from Ensembl.